This 468-nucleotide ribosomal RNA is filed under the name uncultured bacterium. RNAcentral describes it as "partial 16S ribosomal RNA". It matches the Rfam family "Bacterial small subunit ribosomal RNA", at positions 28 to 507 of the family's 1533-position model. The record is from RNAcentral.
GACGAACGCUGGCGGCGUGCUUAACACAUGCAAGUCGAACGGAAAGGCCCUGCUUUUGUGGGGUGCUCGAGUGGCGAACGGGUGAGUAACACGUGAGUAACCUGCCCUUGACUUUGGGAUAACUUCAGGAAACUGGGGCUAAUACAGGAUAGGAGCUCCUGCUGCAUGGUGGGGGUUGGAAAGUUUCGGCGGUUGGGGAUGGACUCGCGGCUUAUCAGCUUGUUGGUGGGGUAGUGGCUUACCAAGGCUUUGACGGGUAGCCGGCCUGAGAGGGUGACCGGCCACAUUGGGACUGAGAUACGGCCCAGACUCCUACGGGAGGCAGCAGUGGGGAAUAGUGCGCAAUGGGCGGGAGCCUGAUGCAGCAACGCCGCGUGCGGGAUGACGGCCUUCGGGUUGUAAACCGCUUUCGCCUGUGACGAAGCGUGAGUGACGGUAAUGGGUAAAGAAGCACCGGCUAACUACGUG